AUUGAACGCUGGCGGAAUGCUUUACACAUGCAAGUCGAGCGGCAGCGCGGGGGCAACCCUGGCGGCGAGCGGCGAACGGGUGAGUAAUACAUCGGAACAUGUCCAGUCGUGGGGGAUAACCUGGCGAAAGCCAGGCUAAUACCGCAUGAGCUCGGGAGAGGAAAGCGGGGGACCGUAAGGCCUCGCGCGAUUGGGUUGGCCGAUGUCCGAUUAGCUUGUUGGUGAGGUAAAGGCUUACCAAGGCGACGAUCAGUAGCUGGUCUGAGAGGAUGAUCAGCCACACUGGGACUGAGACACGGCCCAGACUCCUACGGGAGGCAG
RNAcentral lists this ribosomal RNA (321 nucleotides) under uncultured Pseudomonadota bacterium. Its description in RNAcentral is "bacterial SSU rRNA". It matches the Rfam family "Bacterial small subunit ribosomal RNA", at positions 29 to 351 of the family's 1533-position model. The record is from RNAcentral. Lineage: Bacteria; Pseudomonadati; Pseudomonadota.